AAAGCGGGCACUAGCGAUCGACGUGAAAACACCCGAUCCCAUUCCGACCUCGAUAUGUGAAAUCGUCUUGCGCCAUAUGUACUGCGAUUGUUCGGGAGACAUGGUCCAAGCCCGCUGA
This 118-nucleotide ribosomal RNA is filed under the name Cucumis melo (muskmelon). Lineage: Eukaryota; Viridiplantae; Streptophyta; Magnoliopsida; Cucurbitales; Cucurbitaceae. The record is from RNAcentral.